This 77-nucleotide small RNA is filed under the name Xanthomonas vasicola. Its description in RNAcentral is "sX9 sRNA". It matches the Rfam family "Xanthomonas sRNA sX9". The record is from RNAcentral. Lineage: Bacteria; Pseudomonadati; Pseudomonadota; Gammaproteobacteria; Lysobacterales; Lysobacteraceae.
AUGUACCCCUCUUACACUGCGGUUCUGAGUGCGCCGUCCACACCCGCCUGGCGACUGCUCGCUACGUUUUAUUAGCC